This 254-nucleotide ribosomal RNA is filed under the name uncultured bacterium. RNAcentral's name for it is "partial 16S ribosomal RNA". It matches the Rfam family "Bacterial small subunit ribosomal RNA", at positions 524 to 776 of the family's 1533-position model. The record is from RNAcentral.
UACGUAGGGUGCAAGCGUUGUCCGGAAUUAUUGGGCGUAAAGAGCUCGUAGGCGGUUUGUCGCGUCCGCUGUGAAAACUCAGGGCUUAACCCUGAGCCUGCAGUGGGUACGGGCAGACUAGAGUGUGGUAGGGGGAGAUCGGAAUUCCUGGUGUAGCGGUGGAAUGCGCAGAUAUCAGGAGGAACACCGGUGGCGAAGGCGGAUCUCUGGGCCAUAACUGACGCUGAGGAGCGAAAGCAUGGGGAGCGAACAGG